CCCUCCGCCCGCGGCGCCCUGCGGCGAGGCCGCCCCGGAGGCGCCUCAGGGGAGGCCCGGGCGCCGGGAGGGGGCCGCGGGCCAGGCUCGGCCCCGGGCCCGGGCACCAGGAGAGGGCCGCGGGCCAGGCCUCGGCAGCGCCUCGGGGCAGCCCGGCCCCGGCACCAGGACGGGGCCACGGGCCAGGCCUCGGCCCCUCAGCCCAAGCCAAAGGCCGUCCAGGGCGAGGUGCCGGGAGGCGCGCGUCCCCGCACACCGACUGCGGUGACAAACUGCCGAUUCCCACACACACAAGUAGCAGCAGCAGCUACAUCCCAUUACAGUGCUUUCGGGGACACUGAGAAGUCAUUUGCUAUUUUCAGUGGCGCUACACAAGCCAAGGAACCUGUCUGGAGAAUGGAUAACAGCAUCAAAAAAUAAAUCUGCUCUCUAAGGGCACACAUCUAUUAUACAUUUGCUAUAAAAGAGUUUACGUGCUGACUAAUUCCAAAGUUUUCUUGCUUUUGGGCAUCCUGUGCAAGGAAAAGCCCUUACAACUCCUUUGGGAAUGUCAUCCGUGUGCUGAACUGAUGACUGGGCUAUUCUGGCUUGUCUGAUCGGCUCUACAACAGCGUAAAUCCAGUCUGACCACCCACCUCUGGGACGUUUCCCCAGCAUGCACCCACAGGAACAGGAGGAAGUACAUCUUUCUGCAUUUGAGACACUUGCGCAUGGCGCACAUGGCCAUGGAAGAGCUGCAGCCUAGAUGGGACAGCGCAACUCAGCUGGGAAGAAAAUGAAAUGGAUUUUCAGAAGACUAAGAAUACUAUAUUUCCAGUUGGAGCAAACUUGUCAUCUGAGUAAAAGGCUCUUAACCAGCCUCCUUACCUGAAACUCCAUAGAGCGGACUGCAAGCAGCUGUGCACGUGGGAGCAAUCCAGCUGAAGCGAACAGAAUUGCUUGAAAGCUUGAAACCAAUCAUCUGGAGGAGUUACCUGAUACUACACAGGGAAAUCCAGCAUUUCCUAAAGACUCCUAAAGACUUCAAUGGUUUCUAGUUUUGAUCCUAGCAGAAGCCGUGACUCAGUAGACAUUAAAGCAUGUAUUUAAUUAAAACAUCCAACUUAUCUCAUUCCUGGGGAAAUAAGGCAGGUGAAUGUGUGUUUAGCUUAUUUUGUGUCUUUGCAGUAUUGUCAGAAAUAUCUGUUGAUUCCUCUGUUAUCUAAAGCUAAGUAUCUCUCACACUUUCCGCCUGGCUUUGGACCACUGCAGUGCUGUUUCUGGAAGAAAUGCCAGCAUUAUGAUUUGUGGCCAUGUUGCAACAGGAAGACUGAGUCUCAGGCGUGUUGGUUGCCUCCUGUCCCCAACCCUGCGCCGUGCCUCCCCCUCGCCCUCUCUGGGGCUGCAAGACCAGGCAUUUCCCAGUUCUG
This is a long non-coding RNA of Dromaius novaehollandiae (emu), 1409 nucleotides long. RefSeq lists it as uncharacterized. NCBI's taxonomy places the organism in Eukaryota, Metazoa, Chordata, Aves, Casuariiformes, Dromaiidae. The record is from RefSeq and is a predicted model, not a curated record. The transcript is spliced from 3 exons.